Molecule: ribosomal RNA, 497 nt
Filed under: uncultured bacterium
Lineage: Bacteria
Description: partial 16S ribosomal RNA
Rfam family: Bacterial small subunit ribosomal RNA
Source: RNAcentral
GACGAACGCUGGCGGCGUGCCUAAUACAUGCAAGUUGAGCGAUGAAGAUUGGUGCUUGCCCCAAUUUGAAGAGCAGCGAACGGGUGAGUAACGCGUGGGGAAUCUGCCUUUGAGCGGGGGACAACAUUUGGAAACGAAUGCUAAUACCGCAUAAUAACUUUAAACAUAAGUUUUAAGUUUGAAAGAUGCAAUUGCAUCACUCAAAGAUGAUCCCGCGUUGUAUUAGCUAGUUGGUGAGGUAAGGGCUCACCAAGGCGAUGAUACAUAGCCGACCUGAGAGGGUGAUCGGCCACAUUGGGACUGAGACACGGCCCAAACUCCUACGGGAGGCAGCAGUAGGGAAUCUUCGGCAAUGGACGAAAGUCUGACCGAGCAACGCCGCGUGAGUGAAGAAGGUUUUCGGAUCGUAAAACUCUGUUGGUAGAGAAGAACGUUGGUGAGAGUGGAAAGCUCAUCAAGUGACGGUAACUACCCAGAAAGGGACGGCUAACUACGUG